Molecule: ribosomal RNA, 516 nt
Filed under: uncultured eubacterium WR837
Lineage: Bacteria
Also listed under: 1 other name
Description: bacterial SSU rRNA
Rfam family: Bacterial small subunit ribosomal RNA
Source: RNAcentral
GAGUUUGAUCAUGGCUCAGAUUGAACGCUGGCGGCAUGCCUUACACAUGCAAGUCGAACGGUAACAGGUUAAGCUGACGAGUGGCGAACGGGUGAGUAAUAUAUCGGAACGUGCCCAGUAGUGGGGGAUAGCCCGGCGAAAGCCGGAUUAAUACCGCAUACGACCUACGGGUGAAAGGGGGGGAUCGCAAGACCUCUCGCUAUUGGAGCGGCCGAUAUCAGAUUAGCUUGUUGGUGGGGUAAAAGCCCACCAAGGCGACGAUCUGUAGCUGGUCUGAGAGGACGACCAGCCACACUGGGACUGAGACACGGCCCAGACUCCUACGGGAGGCAGCAGUGGGGAAUUUUGGACAAUGGACGCAAGUCUGAUCCAGCCAUGCCGCGUGCGGGAAGAAGGCCUUCGGGUUGUAAACCGCUUUUGUCAGGGAAGAAAAGUUUUGGGCUAAUAACCUGAGGCGAUGACGGUACCUGAAGAAUAAGCACCGGCUAACUACGUGCCAGCAGCCGCGGUAAUACG